GAUGAACGCUGGCGGCGUGCUUAACACAUGCAAGUCGAACGGAAAGGCCCAAGCUUGCUUGGGUACUCGAGUGGCGAACGGGUGAGUAACACGUGGGUGAUCUGCCCUGCACUUCGGGAUAAGCCUGGGAAACUGGGUCUAAUACCGGAUAGGACGAUGGUUUGGAUGCCAUUGUGGAAAGUUUUUUCGGUGUGGGAUGAGCUCGCGGCCUAUCAGCUUGUUGGUGGGGUAAUGGCCUACCAAGGCGUCGACGGGUAGCCGGCCUGAGAGGGUGUACGGCCACAUUGGGACUGAGAGACGGCCCAGACGCCGACGGGAGGCAGCAGUGGGGAAGAUUGCACAAUGGGCGCAAGCCGGAUGCAGCGACGCCGCGUGGGGGAUGACGGCCUUCGGGUUGGAAACUCCUUUCGCUAGGGACGAAGCGUUUUGUGACGGUACCUGGAGAAGAAGCACCGGCUAACUACGUG
Molecule: ribosomal RNA, 467 nt
Filed under: uncultured bacterium
Lineage: Bacteria
Description: partial 16S ribosomal RNA
Rfam family: Bacterial small subunit ribosomal RNA
Source: RNAcentral